RNAcentral lists this ribosomal RNA (256 nucleotides) under uncultured bacterium. Its description in RNAcentral is "partial 16S ribosomal RNA". It matches the Rfam family "Bacterial small subunit ribosomal RNA", at positions 524 to 776 of the family's 1533-position model. The record is from RNAcentral.
GACGUAGGAUGCAAGCGUUGUCCGGAUUUAUUGGGCGUAAAGAGUUCGUAGGUGGUUUGUUAAGUCUGAUGUUAAAGACUGGGGCUCAACCUCGGGACUGCAUUGGGAUACUGGCAGACUUGAGUGCGGUAGAGGCAAGUGGAAUUCCAGGUGUAGCGGUGAAAUGCGUAGAUAUCUGGAAGAACACCGGUGGCGGAAGGCGGCAUCCUGGACCGGCAUUGACGCUGAGGCGCGAAAGCUAGGGGAGGCAAACGGG